GAUACUGAAAGCAAAGGAUUUAGCUAUAUUUGGACACACUAAAACAUCUUUCAGAGACAAGAUACCUGACGAACCAGAAGCAGUUUGCAGCGGCACUGAACCAAUGUGAGUUAUAGGUAGAUAGUUACCAUCGGCUACCAUGACAUGAUCAUGACCAUGAUAAGGCUGCGAAGUCUGAAGAUUCUGAUGAGAGUUUGUAACAUGAGCAGAAGCCGCCAGUAUCAGGAUACCACUCUGCUCCAGUGUAGUGUUGAUCAGACGAAGGAGGAUCAUUGGAGACCUGAAUCGCAGCCAUUGCUGAAGGAGGUUCAUUACUCUGGUAGGAGAUGUCAAAGCGUCUGUAACACUUCAAGGCAUUGUGUCCAAAACGACCACAAAUCUGGCAAGAUGGUCUAGAGGAGGAGUCUCCUUGAGUAUUAUUUGCAGCUGAACUUUGUUGAUAGAAACCUCGUCCUCUGGUAGAGUAACCACGACCUCUACUGUACCCGAAACGACCAUUACUGCCCCCUCGACCUCUGUAUUGAUUAAAGUGUGGAAUUUGUUGAGAGUAAUUGACAUUCUGAGAAUAUUUUUUGCUCAGUAGCAUCCACGUGAAACGCCAGAUGAGGAGACACAGAGGUUUGAGACACUUCAUAGGAUUUGAGACGGUCGUCGAAGCCAGUUAGGCGAGGAACUAUCUCUUCAAACGUCGGAGGUAAAGGAGAAUCCAUAGCACCUUCAAUACUGGUCUUGAUAGGUUCAUAAUCACGUCCUAGACCUUGCAGAGCUGCAAACACCUUCAUUUUCUCAGAUACAGGGCUUCCCACAGAGUUGAGUUGGUCACAUAGUCCCUUGAUUUCCUUCAAGUAGUCGCUCAUAGAUUUAUCUGUUUUGGAGAUGGUCUGAAGACGACGCUGCAACUCAAACAGUCGUGAAGAAGAAACUCUGUUGAAGUGAUUCCCUAGAGAGGUCCAAACCUCCUGAGCAGUUCGAGCUCCAAGAACAACACUAAGGAUAUCUUGAGAGAGUGAACCAACUAACCAGGCUUGAACAAUCUGAUCAGAUCUGACCCACUGCUGAUGGUCAGGAUUUGGAACAUCUCUGUAGCCUCCUGAGAUGUUUGGAACGUGUAUCAGCGGUAUUGGCUCAGGAGAACCUCCAUUGACGAAGCUUAGAAGACCAACACCAGACAGGAAGGAUUCGAACUGCCUUUUCCAGUGAAUGUAGUUUCGUUCAGUUAGCUUGAGAGUAACGCAGUUGGAGAUGUCAAGUUGAGGUUGAGCAUAUAGAUCUAGAGCGUUGUCCAUGGCUCAGGAUUUACUCCCUAGAGCUCUGAUACCAUGUAAACAGAGAGAAGAUCUAGAACAACAUGAUAAAUUUAUAAACUUUGAAGCUUUUCAUUUCAUAAGAUUUUGCUCAAGUGUUCUUUACAACCUAAGAGAUGUAUUUAUACUAAAAGGUAAAACCCUAGCAGCCUGCCUCGCUGUCCAUUAGGUCUUCAAGUCUUCAUUGGAUUCCAGCAGUUCAAAUCUGUUCUUCAACGUUAUUGGUUGUUUCGAUCCGUACAUUGCAGGACCACCACUUUUGUCUUUUACUCUGUUUUCAGUCUCGAACUCCUUUGUGACCGUUGUUUCAUUUUGCUUCUGAAUGGGCUUUAUAUCAGAGUCUCUCAGGCCCAUUUCGUUAUUCACAAAACUUGUUUCAGCCUUGAACAAUUUGCUUCUUUCACACUCCUCGUUUAUCUUCUUCUCUGUUUCAGAAACAGAGUGUGAUUCUGAAACACUCUUCUUUGGUUUCCAAACCUUCAUCUCCUUGUCUCUUCUGUCUCUUCUGUCAACAGUUUCCACCUGUUUUGAUGAUCCCAAAGUCGAAUUGAGAUGCAUAUGAAACAAAAAGAAAGGAGAGGUCUAAGCUCUCUCUGAAAAGAUAAGAGGAAGAAGUUGGUUUGGAAGUUUAUGUUACACCAAGUGACACGAGUCUUUGGUGCAACGUGGGAAAGACGGCACAUAGAGAAAUGCUUCGGAUCAAGAGAAGCGUCUCCGCAGGUUACAGUCAGUUGGAAGCUGACUGACGUGACCACAUUUGAUAUUUUCGUUUCAAACUCAUUUCAUUCUGCUACAGAACACGACACAAAAAGAUGAGAUGGUAGAUGUGGAAGAGGCAAAACACUAACUGAAUAAAGCAGGUUAGUCAUAAGAUGAAAUGUCAGCGUUGAAGAGGCAGCUCAUGUCCCCAAUGUCUACCACAGUUACAUCAAAAGAUGGUGCAAGAAAAAUGGGGUCUGUGAGCCGCUGAUGAAUCUGUUGGAGAAGACAAAGUAGAGAUCGCUCAUAAAGAAGUCCAUGAUGCUGUGUUAGGACCUGCCAGAAAGAGAGAGGAAGACAGUAAAGAAGCUAAAGAAAGAGUUGAAAAUGGUAACCAAGGUUUUUGAGUGCGCUAGAGAGGACAAAGAGACGCAAACUAGCUCAGUGAGUAAAGCAUGUUAACAAAUUACUUGUGAUACAGUUUGGAAAUGUAAUAUGCAGAACAUGAUCGAAUUAUUAUCAUGAGAAAUUAUGUACUUCUGUUUUGUCUCACUUCCACUACUUUGGCAUUUCACCGGUAUUACAUCUUUGAUCUAAAUGUGCAAUUUUAUUUUAGGUA
Molecule: long non-coding RNA, 2622 nt
Organism: Raphanus sativus (radish)
Lineage: Eukaryota; Viridiplantae; Streptophyta; Magnoliopsida; Brassicales; Brassicaceae
Exons: 3
Source: RefSeq, a predicted model, not a curated record